Molecule: ribosomal RNA, 230 nt
Filed under: uncultured bacterium
Lineage: Bacteria
Description: partial 16S ribosomal RNA
Rfam family: Bacterial small subunit ribosomal RNA
Source: RNAcentral
GAUCCUGGCUCAGGAUGAACGCUAGCGAUAGGCUUAACACAUGCAAGUCGAGGGGCAGCAUGGUCUUAGCUUGCUAAGACUGAUGGCGACCGGCGCACGGGUGCGUAACGCGUAUGCAACUUGCCUCACAGAGGGGGAUAACCCGUCGAAAGACGGACUAAUACCGCGUACACUCCACCUUGGGCAUCCAAGGAGGAGGAAAUGAAUUUCGCUGUGAGAUAGGCAUGCGU